Molecule: ribosomal RNA, 852 nt
Filed under: uncultured bacterium
Lineage: Bacteria
Description: bacterial SSU rRNA
Rfam family: Bacterial small subunit ribosomal RNA
Source: RNAcentral
UGCAGUCGAGCGGACAGAAGGGAGCUUGCUCCCGGAUGUUAGCGGCGGACGGGUGAGUAACACGUGGGUAACCUGCCUGUAAGACUGGGAUAACUCCGGGAAACCGGAGCUAAUACCGGAUAGUUCCUUGAACCGCAUGGUUCAAGGAUGAAAGACGGUUUCGGCUGUCACUUACAGAUGGACCCGCGGCGCAUUAGCUAGUUGGUGAGGUAACGGCUCACCAAGGCGACGAUGCGUAGCCGACCUGAGAGGGUGAUCGGCCACACUGGGACUGAGACACGGCCCAGACUCCUACGGGAGGCAGCAGUAGGGAAUCUUCCGCAAUGGACGAAAGUCUGACGGAGCAACGCCGCGUGAGUGAUGAAGGUUUUCGGAUCGUAAAGCUCUGUUGUUAGGGAAGAACAAGUGCAAGAGUAACUGCUUGCACCUUGACGGUACCUAACCAGAAAGCCACGGCUAACUACGUGCCAGCAGCCGCGGUAAUACGUAGGUGGCAAGCGUUGUCCGGAAUUAUUGGGCGUAAAGGGCUCGCAGGCGGUUUCUUAAGUCUGAUGUGAAAGCCCCCGGCUCAACCGGGGAGGGUCAUUGGAAACUGGGAAACUUGAGUGCAGAAGAGGAGAGUGGAAUUCCACGUGUAGCGGUGAAAUGCGUAGAGAUGUGGAGGAACACCAGUGGCGAAGGCGACUCUCUGGUCUGUAACUGACGCUGAGGAGCGAAAGCGUGGGGAGCGAACAGGAUUAGAUACCCUGGUAGUCCACGCCGUAAACGAUGAGUGCUAAGUGUUAGGGGGUUUCCGCCCCUUAGUGCUGCAGCUAACGCAUUAAGCACUCCGCCUGGGGAGUACGGUCGCAA